AGGAUAAACGCUGGCGGCGUGCCUAACACAUGCAAGUCGAACGCGCUUUUUUCGCAAGAGGAGAGCGAGUGGCGGACGGGUGAGUAACACAUGGGUACCUACCUUGGAGUGAGGGAUACCGGCGAGAAAUCGCCGACAAUACCGCAUACGCUUCUCUUCACCGGGAAGCAAAGUUGCGCAAGCGACGCUCUGAGAUGGGCCUGUGGCCGAUUAGCUAGUUGGUGGGGUAACGGCCUACCAAGGCGACGAUCGGUAGCUGGUCUGAGAGGACGAUCAGCCACACUGGGAUUGAGAACGGCCCAGACUCCUACGGGGGCAGCAGUGAGGAAUUUUCCGCAAUGGACGCAAGUCUGACGGAGCAACGCCGCGUGCAGGAUGAAGGUUUUCGGAUCGUAAACUGUCUUUUCGUCGGGGAAGAGAAUGGACGGUACCCGAGGAAUCAGCCCGGCUAACUACGUGCCAGCAGCCGACGGUAA
This 476-nucleotide ribosomal RNA is filed under the name uncultured bacterium. RNAcentral's name for it is "SSU rRNA". It matches the Rfam family "Bacterial small subunit ribosomal RNA", at positions 26 to 523 of the family's 1533-position model. The record is from RNAcentral.